Molecule: ribosomal RNA, 519 nt
Filed under: uncultured bacterium
Lineage: Bacteria
Description: bacterial SSU rRNA
Rfam family: Bacterial small subunit ribosomal RNA
Source: RNAcentral
GUAGUUACUGGCGUCAGGAGUGAACGACUAGCUACAGGCGUUAACACAUGCAAGUCGAGGGCGAGCAUGAAGUUUGCUUGCAAACUUGAUGGCGACCGGCGCACGGGUGAGUAACGCGUAUCCAACCUUCCCCUUAGUAGGGGAUAGCCCGGCGAAAGUCGGAUUAAUACCCUAUGUUUUCCAAUGCAGACAUCUAAAAUGGAACAAAGGUUUACCGCUAAGGGAUGGGGAUGCGUCUGAUUAGGCAGCAGGCGGGUAACGGCCCACCUGGCCCACGAUCAGUAGGGGUUCUGAGAGGAAGGUCCCCCACAUUGGAACUGAGACACGGUCCAAACUCCUACGGGAGGCAGCAGUGAGGAAUAUUGGUCAAUGGUCGCGAGACUGAACCAGCCAAGUAGCGUGCAGGAAGACGGCCCUAUGGGUUGUAAACUGCUUUUAUGCGGGGAUAAAGUCUCCUACGUGUAGGGGUUUGCAGGUACCGCAUGAAUAAGGACCGGCUAAUUCCGUGCCAGCAGCCGC